GGGGGCGAAAUAGGAUCGACACGCGUGGUAAAGAUAAAGGUUGUGUUCGGCAUGGUAUCCACCGUUAUCGGGCCAACUCUGACAAGUGCCAACGACAACGUUGAACUUGCCGCUGCGGCCUAAACACCCGUAAGCGCGGUUCGGGGGGGCACCGGGCAACAGAAGCCCCCCCA
RNAcentral lists this transfer-messenger RNA (173 nucleotides) under Rhodospirillum rubrum ATCC 11170. RNAcentral describes it as "transfer-messenger RNA Rhodo_rubru_11170". It matches the Rfam family "Alphaproteobacteria transfer-messenger RNA", at positions 148 to 355 of the family's 355-position model. From Rfam's summary of the family: Bacterial tmRNA, also known as 10Sa RNA or SsrA, is named for its dual tRNA and mRNA-like properties. Its role is to liberate the mRNA from a stalled ribosome. The record is from RNAcentral. RNAcentral also lists the same sequence under 1 other name. Lineage: Bacteria; Pseudomonadati; Pseudomonadota; Alphaproteobacteria; Rhodospirillales; Rhodospirillaceae.